Non-coding RNA from Marininema halotolerans, 73 nucleotides. The record is from Rfam. NCBI's taxonomy places the organism in Bacteria, Bacillati, Bacillota, Bacilli, Caryophanales, Thermoactinomycetaceae.
GGACGAUUAGCUCAGUUGGGAGAGCAUCUGCCUUACAAGCAGAGGGUCGGCGGUUCGAGCCCGUCAUCGUCCA